RNAcentral lists this long non-coding RNA (755 nucleotides) under Numida meleagris (helmeted guineafowl). RNAcentral's name for it is "lncRNA (ENSNMEG00000022483.1)". Lineage: Eukaryota; Metazoa; Chordata; Aves; Galliformes; Numididae. The record is from RNAcentral.
AUGAGGUUGCACUCCCCCAGCCCCUAUUGCCCUCAGCUGAGCCUCCCUCGUCUCUGGGGCUGCUGUGUGUCUUGGGACAGGAUGAGGAGGAUUUUCAUGGCCACUGUUGCGUUCAUGUGCAGGUUGAGGUUACUCAGGGGUCUCCGCAUGCCUGCCCGCCCAGGUGUCUCCCCAGAGCUUCUCCCCAGCUCCCAGCCCUGCCCCUGCCCCACAGCGGAAGGGCUGAGGCGGGAAAAAGAAAAUGGCCUCCUGAGAGAAACAUGGAGCCCGGUGCUGCUGCGCAGGUUACCAGCUAUGCACGGCACCUCUGAAGUAAAUAAGGCCAAAAAGAGAAGAAGAAAUAGGAUGAAAGCCCACCAAAAUAAAGUACAGGGGAAGCAUGACAUGGCCAUCCCUGAAGAGGCAAGAGAAGUGCUCACACUGGCCUGGCAGAUGGUACAGGGCAGCAGCACACAGGAGGAGCAGCUGCAGCACUUGGAGGAUCACAGCGUCAGGGGAAGAAGCAGCUGAGCAAAAGGGCUCCUGAUAAUGGCUGGCCUUUUCACCUGCCGAUCUGCUCAAGAACACAUUAGAAAGUCAAGUGCCAAAUGAAAGCGGGCAGCACAUAUUCAUGAAUGCAAGUGGCAGCUUAUGUCCCAGUUUCCAGUGAGCAGUUUCAUUUGAUGUGACAGAAAGCAUGAAAAUUGGGAUAUUGGCAUAAACAAAAAAGUUUUUUUGUGAAUAUAAUGUAAUAAAGGAAAGCAUCAGUGUCUACA